This 497-nucleotide ribosomal RNA is filed under the name uncultured bacterium. RNAcentral's name for it is "bacterial SSU rRNA". It matches the Rfam family "Bacterial small subunit ribosomal RNA", at positions 30 to 533 of the family's 1533-position model. The record is from RNAcentral.
AUUGAACGCUGGCGGUAUGCUUAAGACAUGCAAGUCGAACGGUAACAGACCUUCGGGUGCUGACGAGUGGCGGACGGGUGAGUAACACGUGGGAAUCUACCUUGUAGUGGGGGAUAAGCCAGGGAAACUUGGACUAAUACCGCAUACGCCCUAAGGGGGAAAGGAGCAAUUCGCUAUAAGAUGAGCCCGCGUCUGAUUAGCUAGUUGGUGAGGUAAAGGCUCACCAAGGCGACGAUCGAUAGCUGGUCUGAGAGGAUGAUCAGCCACACUGGAACUGAGACACGGUCCAGACUCCUACGGGAGGCAGCAGUAGGGAAUAUUGGACAAUGGGGGCAACCCUGAUCCAGCCAUGCCGCGUGAGUGAAGAAGGCCCUCGGGUUGUAAAGCUCUUUUGUCCGGAAAGAAAAGCAAUCGGUUAAUACCCGGUUGUUCUGACGGUACCGGAAGAAUAAGCACCGGCUAACUUCGUGCCAGCAGCCGCGGUAAGGUAGAUGAGU